This 220-nucleotide unclassified non-coding RNA is filed under the name Hevea brasiliensis (rubber tree). Lineage: Eukaryota; Viridiplantae; Streptophyta; Magnoliopsida; Malpighiales; Euphorbiaceae. The record is from RNAcentral.
UCUCCAGGUCUACGGAAGACUUGAUCCCCAAUCUUGAUCUCAUAAGCCUCUGGUUGGUUUAAGAUGAACUCCUUCAAUUCAAUCAUGUUUUGACCUUUUUCCAUGGUGAGCAUGAUUGUGCUGGUAUCAACACCCAUGAACUUCACCUCAAUUGCCCCAGUCCUUAGAACUUUUGUCCAUUUCAUUGCAAUCUCAGCCACCAUAUCCGGAGUCCGGCGCA